GCAUUUGUGGCUCAGUGGUAGAGUUCUCGCCUUCCAUGCAGGAGGCUGGGCUUUGAUUCCUGGCCAAUGCA
RNAcentral lists this transfer RNA (71 nucleotides) under Loxodonta africana (African savanna elephant). It matches the Rfam family "tRNA". Rfam says of the family: Transfer RNA (tRNA) molecules are approximately 80 nucleotides in length. Lineage: Eukaryota; Metazoa; Chordata; Mammalia; Proboscidea; Elephantidae. The record is from Rfam by way of RNAcentral.